CUCCACACCACUAGAGGGAUAUCUUCAACCACCAACUUACCAUCCUGAGAGAAGGCCGAGUACAGCCCACAAAGAUCUCCGCCAUGGCACAACCCAACGGGGGGCGCCAACCCAGACAGGAAGAUCACAUCAGUGACUCAACCCACUCAAGUGACGCACCCCUCCUAGAGACGGCAUGAAAGAGCACCACAUGCGUGUGAUCCUUCAACUGGUGGCCAUGGCAACCCACAGAGGUCAGAGAGGUCAGCAGGCCAACACAGGAGCGGUAGCGGUGACUAUGACAAGUACAGCGACUACAGCGAAGACAAGUAUAACUAUUAUGACGAGGAGGAGAUGUGGCAGGUGAAAGACUCUACUUCUCUCAGCCAAGGCCUGGGCAGGGUACACAGUUCCAAGAACCAGAUGAAGAGGGGUGGCAUGAAGGUCAUGUAGAAACAACAACAGUGUAUGUAUGGACUGUAUGGAUUUCGUGUUGAAGGGUCUUGUCGAAUGGUAUUCAAGUUUGUCGAGGUUAACAGUCUAGUGGCUAUAGUAG
Molecule: long non-coding RNA, 535 nt
Organism: Oncorhynchus tshawytscha (Chinook salmon)
Lineage: Eukaryota; Metazoa; Chordata; Actinopteri; Salmoniformes; Salmonidae
Source: Ensembl